This is a non-coding RNA of Parelaphostrongylus tenuis, 79 nucleotides long. NCBI's taxonomy places the organism in Eukaryota, Metazoa, Nematoda, Chromadorea, Rhabditida, Metastrongylidae. The record is from the annotation of a GenBank genome assembly.
GGUUUCGGUGGUGCAGUUGGUAGCGGGCACUCCCGCAAUGGGUGAAACCUGGGUUCAACUCCCAAUUACGAUCGAACUU